Molecule: non-coding RNA, 26 nt
Filed under: Mus musculus (house mouse)
Lineage: Eukaryota; Metazoa; Chordata; Mammalia; Rodentia; Muridae
Source: RNAcentral
UAUGACAACCCGUUGUCAGUCUUGAG